GCGCCUGUAGCCGUCGAGUUUCUGCGCAGACGAGAACACGCUGCGACACUUUGAGCUCUGAGAGAGAGAGAGAGAGAGAGAGAGAGAGAGAGAGAGAGAGAGAGAGAGAGAGAGAGAGAGAGAGAGAGAGAGAGAGAGAGAGAGAGAGAGAGAGAGAGAGAGAGAGAGAGAGCGAGCAGCAGCAAUGUUUUUUGCUCCGAACCUUCUUGACUGAUUUCUUUCCCUCAUUUAUUAUUAAACCUCUUAAUUAUUUAA
Long non-coding RNA from Silurus meridionalis, 255 nucleotides. RefSeq lists it as uncharacterized. The record is from RefSeq and is a predicted model, not a curated record. The transcript has 2 exons. NCBI's taxonomy places the organism in Eukaryota, Metazoa, Chordata, Actinopteri, Siluriformes, Siluridae.